This is a long non-coding RNA of Pimephales promelas (fathead minnow), 1748 nucleotides long. RefSeq lists it as uncharacterized. Lineage: Eukaryota; Metazoa; Chordata; Actinopteri; Cypriniformes; Leuciscidae. The record is from RefSeq and is a predicted model, not a curated record.
ACUAAUCAGUAACGUUAGAAACCCACUAUCAAAUCACAAUAUCAUCUUACUAUUCUUGACAAUUAUUAAGAGACAGAUAUCAUGUACAGUCAACGGCCAUUUAAGUAAAUCACAUAGAACCUGUCCAUGACCAGGUCAAAUUGAAGUUUAAAUUCCAAAGGAAUUUUAAGAGAAUUGGGACUUUUUUUUUUUAAAUGACAAUUAACCAUAUAUUUUUUUUUGCUCUUCUUGAGUUUGUCUCAGUGACAAUCUCAUUUGAUUUUUCUAGACAUAUUCUUUGGAGCAUUUGUUUCCAUAAAACUUUAUGAAUGUUGAAUCACAUUGCACUUGAUGACGUAUAAUCUUCCAGGCAGUCAUGGUACAAGCUGAUAGGUCAUCUGCCAGCCUAUCAGCUUGCAUCCUUUGCAAAUGAGCUAAUAGGCAUGUCAAUUGUCAGCCAAUGAGCUUGCAUCCUGUGCAAACUAGCUAAAAGGCGUUUGAUUUUUCAGCCAAUGAGCACGCAUGCACCUGAUACUGCUACUAUUUAAAUAACAAGCUUCAGGCAUUUACUGUAAAAUGGUUCACGGCAGUGUGUUUAAAAGGUUGAAUCCAUUUUUUUUCCUCUCUAUUUUAAAAGGUUUGAAUCCAUUUUUUCCCCCCUGUUUUUGUUUCAAGGAGGUAAUUUGUCAUCCCUUUUAGCUUGUGAUAUCCUGCAUUUGCUAAUGAGAUGGCUCCAAUGAUGUUUGGUUCUAAGUGUGCUUUAAAAAUAUAUUUUGUGCUUCGCAGAAGUCAUACAGAUACAGGUUUGGAUUGGCACAAGGCACUCAGUCUUACCUGUGGUAAAGCGUAAGCUUCUGAAUUGGGUACAAAGACUGUGAAAGGGCCACGACUUCCGAGUUCAGGGUCCCUUUGCAACUCUCUCCAUCGCCAAUAAAGCCAAGCCUACAAGUGCAGUUCCUCUCCAGGGGUCCUGUCAUGGUACAGUCGGCAUACUUGUGGCAUCCUCCAUUUUUCUGACAAAACAAACGUCGAUGGCUUCACAUUGCUUUCCAUUCCCUGAAAAGCCAAGUUUGCAGUAGCAUGCUGACUGGAAGAGGGGGGGGAAAGAAAUAAUCUCUGCAUCAAUUCAAAGUUAUUCUAAGGGUUAGUCUGUCAAUCAUAUCCAGGCCAUUCUACGUUCCAAAAUCAAAUGUUUAAUGUCUUGUCAUACAUAUCCUUUUUUGCCUCUUUUAUGUUAAUGCAGACUUUGUCCAGUUCUCUUCACUAAUGCAAUAAACUGAUGAAAAUGUAUUGUAUAUACAUUAUGGAAGCCAUUACUUUAAGCUGAAUGAAGUCAAACCAUUGAAUCUUCACCCAAACAUUAACUUUUUCUCAUUUACUCCUCAAACCUGGAACACAAGAUAUUUAGAAGUGUGGGAAAACAAACACUUGUGCACAUUGACUUCUAUUGUAUACAUACAAACCCCCCUGAUAUUUCAGUCAUCUUGUCUUCCACAGAUGUGAUGCUACUGUUAAUUUUCUGUCUCCUAAAGGGAUUUUUAUGUAUAACGUUUAUACAGUAUGGUAGUAUAUAUGUUGUGCUGGCUUUAAUCAAGACAUUUAAAUUGCAUGUAUGACUGUGAAUGCUCAACUAUUCAACAUUUGUGGCCUCCAAGGGGCAGGGUUUUUUUUUUGUAUUUGAGUGAAAUUGGUUGUAGACAUGGGUUUGUGAGAUUCAUUUAUACAAUUGUAUUUGAUUGUUUGUUUGCUAGCUUAAGUGGACUUGUAUC